UCUCCGUUGGUGAACCAGCGGAGGGAUCAUUACUGAGUUUACAACUCCCAACCCAUGUGGACAUACCUUUUGUUGCUUCGGCGGGAUGCCCCCGGCGCCUAGUGUGCCCGGGAAUCAGGCCCCCGCCGGAGGACCCAAACUCUUGUUUUUCUAUAGAACUUCUGAGUGGAUUAUUUUAAUAAUUAAAACUUUCAACAACGGAUCUCUUGGUUCUG
Molecule: unclassified non-coding RNA, 215 nt
Filed under: plant metagenome
Description: partial contains small subunit ribosomal RNA, internal transcribed spacer 1, and 5.8S ribosomal RNA
Source: RNAcentral